Molecule: long non-coding RNA, 219 nt
Filed under: Physcomitrium patens
Lineage: Eukaryota; Viridiplantae; Streptophyta; Bryopsida; Funariales; Funariaceae
Description: long non-coding RNA (PPAT_LNC014264)
Source: RNAcentral
GUGGCCACUCUUUAACCUUCCCAUUACAAGCUUUAACCAAUGCUUUCACAAUCGGCGGGUGACCACGUUCGCUUUUUGCAUUCCCUUCCGGAUUAUAAGCAGUAGUCAGUGAUAGUUUAACUCCACAUUUUUCAAAGAACUUAUGAGCUUCUUGUGCAUUUAAUUCUCCACGAUCUGCAGUGAUUUUUUCCACGCAUCCGUAGCGGCAAAUGACAUCUU